UACGAAGGGGACUAGCGUUGUUCGGAAUUACUGGGCGUAAAGCGCACGUAGGCGGAUUUGUUAGUCAGGGGUGAAAUCCCGGGGCUCAACCUCGGAACUGCCUUUGAUACUGCAAGUCUCGAGUCCGAUAGAGGUGGGUGGAAUUCCUAGUGUAGAGGUGAAAUUCGUAGAUAUUAGGAAGAACACCGGUGGCGAAGGCGGCCCACUGGAUCGGUACUGACGCUGAGGUGCGAAAGCGUGGGGAGCAAACAG
This 252-nucleotide ribosomal RNA is filed under the name uncultured bacterium. RNAcentral's name for it is "partial 16S ribosomal RNA". It matches the Rfam family "Bacterial small subunit ribosomal RNA", at positions 524 to 775 of the family's 1533-position model. The record is from RNAcentral.